GAUGAAGAACGUAUCGAAAUGCGAUAAGUAGUGUGAAUUGCAGAAUUCAGUGAAUCAUCGAAUCUUUGAACGCACAUUGCGCCCCUUGGUAUCCCGAGGGGCAUGCCUGUUCGAGCGUCAUUUCACCACUCAAGCCUGGCUUGGUGUUGGGCGACGUCCUCUUUGGGGACGCGCCUCGAAACGCUCGGCGGCGUGGCACCGGCUUUAAGCGUAGCAGAAUCUUUCGCUUUGGAAGUCGGGGCCCCGUCUGCCGGAAGACCUGCUCGCAAGGUUGACCUCGGAUCAGGCAGGGAUACCCGCUGAACUUAAGCAUAUCAAUAAGCGGAGGA
This 329-nucleotide unclassified non-coding RNA is filed under the name soil metagenome. RNAcentral's name for it is "partial contains 5.8S ribosomal RNA, internal transcribed spacer 2, and large subunit ribosomal RNA". The stretch from base 1 to 120 matches the Rfam family "5.8S ribosomal RNA", at positions 35 to 154 of the family's 154-position model. The record is from RNAcentral.